UUAACUUGGGAGUCAGAACAUGGGUGAUAAGGUCCGUGUUCGAAAGGGAAACAGCCCAGACCACCAGCUAAGGUCCCAAAAUAUAUGUUAAGUGGAAAAGGAUGUGGCGUUGCCCAGACAACUAGGAUGUUGGCUUAGAAGCAGCCAUCAUUUAAAGAGUGCGUAAUAGCUCACUAGUCGAGUGACACUGCGCCGAAAAUGUACCGGGGCUAAACAUAUUACCGAAGCUGUGGAUUGUCCUUUGGACAAUGGUAGGAGAGCGUUCUAAGGGCGUUGAAGCAUGAUCGUAAGGACAUGUGGAGCGCUUAGAAGUGAGAAUGCCGGUGUGAGUAGCGAAAGACGGGUGAGAAUCCCGUCCACCGAUUGACUAAGGUUUCCAGAGGAAGGCUCGUCCGCUCUGGGUUAGUCGGGUCCUAAGCUGAGGCCGACAGGCGUAGGCGAUGGAUAACAGGUUGAUAUUCCUGUACCACCUAUAAUCGUUUUAAUCGAUGGGGGGACGCAGUAGGAUAGGCGAAGCGUGCGAUUGGAUUGCACGUCUAAGCAGUAAGGCUGAGUAUUAGGCAAAUCCGGUACUCGUUAAGGCUGAGCUGUGAUGGGGAGAAGACAUUGUGUCUUCGAGUCGUUGAUUUCACACUGCCGAGAAAAGCCUCUAGAUAGAAAAUAGGUGCCCGUACCGCAAACCGACACAGGUAGUCAAGAUGAGAAUUCUAAGGUGAGCGAGCGAACUCUCGUUAAGGAACUCGGCAAAAUGACCCCGUAACUUCGGGAGAAGGGGUGCUCUUUAGGGUUAACGCCCAGAAGAGCCGCAGUGAAUAGGCCCAAGCGACUGUUUAUCAAAAACACAGGUCUCUGCUAAACCGUAAGGUGAUGUAUAGGGGCUGACGCCUGCCCGGUGCUGGAAGGUUAAGAGGAGUGGUUAGCUUCUGCGAAGCUACGAAUCGAAGCCCCAGUAAACGGCGGCCGUAACUAUAACGGUCCUAAGGUAGCGAAAUUCCUUGUCGGGUAAGUUCCGACCCGCACGAAAGGCGUAACGAUUUGGGCACUGUCUCAACGAGAGACUCGGUGAAAUCAUAGUACCUGUGAAGAUGCAGGUUACCCGCGACAGGACGGAAAG
RNAcentral lists this ribosomal RNA (1114 nucleotides) under Staphylococcus aureus. Its description in RNAcentral is "partial 23S ribosomal RNA". It matches the Rfam family "Bacterial large subunit ribosomal RNA", at positions 972 to 2087 of the family's 2925-position model. Lineage: Bacteria; Bacillati; Bacillota; Bacilli; Caryophanales; Staphylococcaceae. The record is from RNAcentral.